Molecule: long non-coding RNA, 884 nt
Organism: Helianthus annuus (common sunflower)
Lineage: Eukaryota; Viridiplantae; Streptophyta; Magnoliopsida; Asterales; Asteraceae
Exons: 2
Source: RefSeq, a predicted model, not a curated record
ACACAUUUGCAAACACUCCCUUUAUAUCCAGAACUUUAUCAUCUUCAACUUUAUCAUCUUCAACAAAAACCCAGAACUUUAUCCCUAAACACUUGCUUAUCCUCAACUGAUUACCCCCUUUCUUCUUUACCAUAACCCUAACUAACCACACAUUUUGACUUUACCAUCAUCAUUUUCAUCACCAUCAUCAUCUUCAAGAGAGAUAAGAUAUCGGAGAUCAGAAGAUCGGAGAUAAUAAGAGAUCGGAGAUCAGAAGCGAAGAGAGAGGAGAGAGACGGCAAGAGAGAGAAGAGAUCGGAGAUCAGAAGCGAUCGGAGAUCAGAAGCGAAGAGAGAGGAGAGAGACGACAAGAGAGAGCAGAGAUCGGAGAAAAUGGUGGAACGACGGUAGCGCCGUCGCUCACGGCGGCGACGGUGGAGGUACAGGCGGUGGUGACUCCAUUAUCAGCCAACCACCGAUUGGCCUACGAUUAACCUUCGUUGACCUCUGAUCAACUGUCAUUCAGCGCUGAUUAACGAACAAAGUUGCAUAAUUUCACUGAUUUCAAGUUCAGGUGAAUCCAGCGGGUUUCUUAAUGGAUCGGAAUAGAUGAUGAAAAUGAUGCAGAUGAUGAUGGUGAUGAUGAUGAUUGAGCUUAGGUUUUUAAUUGUUCAAGGGUAAUAUAGUCAUUUCACACAUAUUUAGUUGAGAAAUUUAACUGAAGUUAGGGCUGGGGACCAACCGAGUGCAUUUUUAACAAGUUUUGGGACCAAGAGUGUAAAUAGUGAACCACUAGGACCAAGUGUGAAAUUUUGUGAAACCACAGGGACCAACCAAGCAUUUAACUCUUAAUAUAUUUUUGAAAGUUCAAUAAGCCAAUAUAUUUACAGAGAAAAUUGAAAAUA